This is a non-coding RNA of Cucurbita pepo subsp. pepo (vegetable marrow), 466 nucleotides long. Lineage: Eukaryota; Viridiplantae; Streptophyta; Magnoliopsida; Cucurbitales; Cucurbitaceae. The record is from RefSeq and is a predicted model, not a curated record.
CCCCUUGUGCUCCAUUUUACCAUAAUCUACGGAUUUGGAGUUAUAACCCUUGUAUUUCAUCUUUUUCUUCCUUUUGUAUUCCAUUUUUGUCCGGGAUGCCUAGUCUUUGCUCUAUCCUCAUGCCAACGUCGCUGAUAUGGGCUAAAUGAAAAAGCUCUUAAUCGAGAAACUUUGCAAAUGGUUGACAUAGUUGUUACUAGCUGAGUUGUAGUUUAUCUGCACUCCAAUCGGGUGCUACAAAGAGAUCUUAAGGGGACUUUGGACUUGCAAAACUACUCAAUAUAGAAGACCUUGCUUCAUCAUCAUCGCUGAAGUUUUUAAACAUGCAGACUAUAUUAAAGAAGAGAGAGGCCAGCAGAAAGAUGUCGGGUCAACUGCUGUCCUAUUAGGGCAUCGUCUCUUUGUUGCUAAUGUUGAAUAUUCCAGAGUAGUUGCAUCUAAAGCUGGUUCAUUAUGAGAUACUACU